This 637-nucleotide long non-coding RNA is filed under the name Equus caballus (horse). RNAcentral describes it as "lncRNA (ENSECAG00000044854.1)". Lineage: Eukaryota; Metazoa; Chordata; Mammalia; Perissodactyla; Equidae. The record is from RNAcentral.
CCUCUAUCAAAAAUGAUCAGGCUGAAAAGAACAGUUAAGGAGCUUCUGGACAAUCCCAAGCCACUUUUUUGGCUCCUAGCCUGGAAAAACUCCUGACAGAAAGCUUGUCUGGUGCCCUUGGCAGAGACCCACAAGAUCUAGUAAAAUGCCAAAGAGAAGCAGAAUGACAUCAAGAGGGAACCACGCUGUGAGGUCAAAGGGCUACACCUGGCCAAAGGCAGAGGCCAGGACCACAACAUCAAUACACAUCAGCAGUGAAAGGAUGUGGAGGAGUGGAUGAAUGCCAACAUUUCCAGAGUACCACCCACCAGUAGGAGGAUGCAAGGCAUAUGUGGGCCUCAUCCAAUCAGUUGAAAGCCUUAAUAGAAGAAGACUGAUCUCUUUCAGAAGAAGCAGGAAUUCUGUCUGCAGACAGCCUUUGGACCACAAGAUCAACUCUCCUCUAGCUCUCCAGCCUGAUGGCCUACCCUACUGAUUUUGGACUUGCCAGCUUUCACUAUCACAUGAAAUCAAUUCCCUAAAAUAAAUCUCUCUUAAAAUAAAUCUCUUAAAACAAGUCUCUCCUCUCUCUUUCUUUCUCUCUGUCUCUGUCUCUGUCUCUCUCUCUCUCUGUCUAUAUAUAAACAUAUGUCUAUAU